UACGGAGGGUGCAAACGUUGCUCGGAAUCAUUGGGCGUAAAGCGCACGUAGGCGGUCCAGCAAGUCGGGUGUGAAAGCCCUCGGCUUAACCGGGGAAGUGCAUUCGAAACUACUGGACUUGAGUACUGAAGAGGAUCGCGGAAUUCCCGGUGGAGUGGUGAAAUGCGUAGAGAUCAGGAAGAACACCCGUGGCGAAGGCGGCCUACUGGGCCGGUGCUGACGCUGAGGCGCGAAGGCGUGGGGAGCGAACGGG
RNAcentral lists this ribosomal RNA (253 nucleotides) under uncultured bacterium. RNAcentral's name for it is "partial 16S ribosomal RNA". It matches the Rfam family "Bacterial small subunit ribosomal RNA", at positions 524 to 776 of the family's 1533-position model. The record is from RNAcentral.